UUUUUUAAUUCAAAUCACAGUGCAUUAAUUGUUGUCAUUGGUUCAGAUUUAACACAAUAAUCCACAGUGAAACUGCUCUCAUACUACUCAUAUGAUUAAAAUCAGUAGCUCACAUCUUACGCAAUCAAGUAGCACAUGUAAAAACAAUUCCUUGGACAUUUGUUUCCUCAGCAACGUGUUUGGAGACUUCUUGAAGAGAAAUCUGUUUCGCAACUCCCAGGUUUGUGCCUGCAUCAUCAUCUUAAUGUUCAUCAUCUAGGAGAACUAACUGUCAACAGGAAUAAUUAGUGACAUCCUAAGAGACUAUAUAAGAGUGAUAAUUACAGAAAACCUUGAGAUUAACAUUGCUGAGGAUGUGUGCUCUGUUCUUCCAGCACAUUGAAAUUUUAUUUAGCGAGGGAUUAUUUUUCCUCUCUCCCUCUGAUAUUUUGACAUGGUAGAAAAAUAGAUAACAAAAGGAAAUAAAGUGUAGAGCUAUAAAACAGAAAUGAAUAAUUCUUGUCUAUCUUGGGAAAUGAAGAAGGAAUUAUAUGCAUUAUUUUUUUAUACAUCUAGUUUUUUGGCAUAGUGAAACCUGAAAAAUGAAGUCCUCUCUCUGGACAGUUUAGCUACUUGCUAGGUAGCUUGGCAUCAUUGAAAUGGUCUCUCUUAAUCCCACAGUGACUAUAAACCAUAAUAAAUAUGUUUUUGCUAUUGCAAGCAACAUAAAUACUCUUUCCUACUUUAUACGUUCUUAGUAUCAGAAAGCAGCUUGAAUCAAACACAGCUUCCAGAGUCUCCAGGGCUGAAAAAAUAUCUUUUUGGUUAUUGAGUGAAGAAAAUAAUAAAGGAUAAUGCACAACGUAGCAAGAACUUUGAUUCUCAGUAGAGACUAUGGAUACCUGUAUUUUUAUUUUAAAGUUAAGAUGAACCACAGCAAUUCAUUGCAAGUGUGAUGUUCUAGUAAUAAAUUGAGAGACUGAAGUAUUUUCUGUUGUAUACCAAAGGACAUUAGCAAACUAUUGUGGUUACAAGACCAAAUUUUCAGGUUUCAGGAAAUACUAAAAUUAAUACUGCCUACCCUUGAUGUAAUAACAAUGGCAAAUGGAACAGGAAUCACACAUUUUGCCAUCUAUAUAAUGACAAGGCUAUAGAGACACUCAGAAGUCCUGAACCCUUAUCUUAUUUCUGGGACUGGGUGUACUCUAAUGGUUACUGCGCUUCUAUUCUGUACCAAUGUUUUAUCUCUCUUUCCUCUUCCCUGCCUUCUCCAACAUUUACCAGGAUGUACCAGGUGUGCUUUCUCCCCACGUUUCCCACCACACGUUGAAACACAAGGAACAUGAGUGUAUUUUGGGAGGCAUCACCAUUAUCAGGCCUGUGGUCUCUGUACAGUUGUGCCCUGUACCUAUUCAAGUGCUCCUUUAAACAUGACUGUGUUCCCAGGGUGGAACUGUCAGCUUGCCUACUGUUGCUCUGAAUGAAUUAGCACUGAUUAGUUGGACAGCUGGCCAGGCAUCAACAGCUUUUCUGAAGCUACAGCUCAUGCCUUUCACACAGCAGUGCUGAUAAAGAAAGCUUUCCAACAAACCCCUUUUUUUCUUCCACACUGUUCUUUUUAUGCUCUUUCUGUCUGUUGGUUUUUGCUUUGUUUAGUUUUUGUGGGUUAAUUUUGGUUUUGUUUUAUUUUCUCUAUAAACCAGGAGGAAAACUCAUCCACACCACCACCUCACCAAUACCCAGUCAUAGGCUAUGGUCAUCAGCAACAGGUAAGCAGCUGCACCUGCUGGAAAUAUCUCAUUAGAGUGGUAAUGCCACAUUGUCUGUUGCUGUUAUUCACUAAAGAAUCUAGAAACCAUCGCUAAUUGCACACGAUUUGCUCUCUUUAAGAACCCCCCUCCAGUAAAUAUGAUGUCAAAAAGGAGCACUGCAAGGUAGAAGGGCUUUACAAAUCUGAAGGCAGCUUAUCCUGUUUGGGAACCCUAACAGAAACAUUGUACCUCUCUCAGUAGCCUUGUCCCAUUUUUUAUCUCCCCAAGACUGGACUAGGGAGGAUGGUGGGCAGGGAGGCCGUGCUCCUAUGGAGCUGGGCUGAGGUCUUCAUCCCAUCUGCAUCAUGCCCAGGCUGCAGGCAAUCUUCAUGGGGAUUUACCAACCUUGGCUCCAUCCAUGAGAGGCCCAAUUCUCCCAACAGACCCACAUAGCAAGCAUCUCACAGGAACCCACAAACAUAGUAACAGCACAUGAUACUAUCCCUCUCAUCAGAGUCCUACCAUCUGGCAUUGUUAUCUUAUGCUUGGAUUGGACAAAAUGUCCAAAAAAUCUAGUGUCAUUACUGCUUGCUGUCCAUCCUCACUGAUAAUUUUUAUUUGAAGUAAUUAAUGAUUAACGGAGGUGCUC
This is a long non-coding RNA of Gallus gallus (chicken), 2379 nucleotides long. The record is from Ensembl. NCBI's taxonomy places the organism in Eukaryota, Metazoa, Chordata, Aves, Galliformes, Phasianidae.